CCUACGGGAGGCAGCAGUAGGGAAUCUUUCACAAUGGGCGAAAGCCUGAUGGAGCAACGCCGCGUGCAGGAUGAAGGCCUUCGGGUUGUAAACUGCUUUUAUAAGCGAGAAAUAUGAUGGUAACUUAUGAAUAAGGAUCGGCUAACUACGUGCCAGCAGCCGCGGUCAUACGUAGGAUCCGAGCAUUAUCCGGAGUGACUGGGUGUAAAGAGUUUCGUAGGUGUCAUAAUAAGUAGCUAGUGAAAUCUGGUGGCGCAACCAUUCAGACUAUUAGCUAAACUGUUAAGCUCGAGACCGUUAGGGGUAACUGGAAUUUCUAGUGUAGGAGUGAAAUCCGUAGAUAUUAGAAGGAACACCAAUAGCGUAGGCAGGUUGCUGGGACGGUUCUGACACUAAGGCACGAAAGCGUAGGGAGCAAACGGGAUUAGAUACCCGAGUAGUC
Molecule: ribosomal RNA, 442 nt
Filed under: uncultured bacterium
Lineage: Bacteria
Description: partial 16S ribosomal RNA
Rfam family: Bacterial small subunit ribosomal RNA
Source: RNAcentral